CCUUUCAACACAAAGGGAGUUUCAAAUGUCACAUUAAAUGAGCUCACAUAUGAGCCUGGCAUUGAAAUCAGAGUGUGCCAGGGAUUCUAUGGCAAGGGAUUAGUGGAAAAUUACACAACAGACAUGUGUAAGCAUGGCACCUGGCAGCCGGAUAGGCUGACCUUUAUUUUGCAGUUAGUGUCGGUUUUUAUUAAUCCCUUUAAUACAAAAUCUCAAAAAUAAGAAACAUAAAUGAAUCAGUCACACUGACAGUAAUCACAUAGUGUCCACUUCUUGGAGUCAGAGAGAACUAAUCAAGCUUAGGCCUGUGGUUCACCAUUUUGCUCAGACACUAAUACCUACAGUUCAUACCUUAACAGGCUUGUUAUGUCAUGAUCUUUCCAUUUGUCCAUUUACUAUUCUUCUAACAUUUUGUUGAUAUAUCAAUCCAUUUUUUUUUUUUUGGUAUGUUUUGAAGGGAGAUCAGCAUUGGUAGGUUGGGGAGGUAUAUCUACCUAGAUAUUAGGAUUACAUGCGUGACUAAUAUCACAUUAUUUGGCAACCGCUAUUUACAAGCCUUCCAGAAAUAGCUAUGGAUUUUUUUCCCUUUACUUACUUACAGUUUGAAUGCUUAAACACUAACAGUGAUUCUUGAAGCACUAUCUCAAUAGCUAGAAAAGGUUUGCAUGGGGGCUUGGUUUUUUUUUAGAAGGGAGAUCAGCAUUGGUAGGUCGGGGAGGUAUAUCUACCUUGAUAUUAAGAUUACAUGCGUGACAAAAGAGAAAAGUUUGAAAAAUUUGUUUUCUUUUUUAUCCCUAUAUAGUAUGUGUUUUGUUCACCAAGUGUGCUUUGACAAUACUGUUUAUUAUGGUCAUGGUGAUAAAGCAAGUCUAUUUGAACUGAACUGAACAGAGAGAGAGAGAGAGAGAGAGAGAGAGAGAGAGAGAGAGAGAGAGAGAGAGAGAGACCUUCACUUGAUAGAUUUGGCUGUCAGUUCACCGUAGGCAAAUUGUUGGUGUAAGGGCUAUCUAGAUAGUUUUGUUGUAUAGUUAGGUAGGUAACCUGUAGGUAUGUUUUUUUUUAUUAUGUCAACAUCAUUCGAUACAUUGUGCAAUACCCACUCAUUGAUUUACCUUGAGUUUUCUUCUUGAAGUAGCCAAGAAGGCGAGAUUGUUUUGUUUAAAAAAACUGGACCAUUUCAACUGGGUGCGCACCUCUUCCAACUUUUCAGGGCGAAAAUAC
Clupea harengus (Atlantic herring) is the source of this 1221-nucleotide long non-coding RNA. Lineage: Eukaryota; Metazoa; Chordata; Actinopteri; Clupeiformes; Clupeidae. The record is from Ensembl.